Molecule: small nuclear RNA, 105 nt
Organism: Erinaceus europaeus (western European hedgehog)
Lineage: Eukaryota; Metazoa; Chordata; Mammalia; Eulipotyphla; Erinaceidae
Source: Ensembl
GUGCUUGCUUCAGCAGCACAUAUAUUAAAAUUGAAAUGACACAGAGAAGACUAGCGUGGCCCCUGCAAGGAUGACAUGAAAAUUCAUGAAGCGUUCCAUAUUGAA